This 164-nucleotide ribosomal RNA is filed under the name Symphyotrichum x salignum. RNAcentral describes it as "5.8S ribosomal RNA". It matches the Rfam family "5.8S ribosomal RNA". Rfam says of the family: 5.8S ribosomal RNA (5.8S rRNA) is a component of the large subunit of the eukaryotic ribosome. The record is from RNAcentral. RNAcentral also lists the same sequence under 1 other name. Lineage: Eukaryota; Viridiplantae; Streptophyta; Magnoliopsida; Asterales; Asteraceae.
CAAACGACUCUCGGCAACGGAUAUCUCGGCUCACGCAUCGAUGAAGAACGCAGCAAAAUGCGAUACUUGGUGUGAAUUGCAGAAUCCCGUGAACCAUCGAGUUUUUGAACGCAAGUUGCGCCCGAAGCCAUUCGGUUGAGGGCACGUCUGCCUGGGCGUCACGC